AUCUUAUCUCCCCAUGGCACCCAGGGAUUGCCCCAACCUCUUGAUACCGAAAAGUCCUCCUCCCACAGGCCCUGCUGGUUCACUCUGUUCCUGAGUGCAACCUUCAUCUGGUCCUGCAUGCCUUGCACUAUCUUCCUCACAGGGGCUGUGAGAAUAUAUUAGCCCUGAGCUAACACGUGCCGGGCAAUCCUCCUCUUUUUUGCUGAGGAAGCCUGGCCCUGAGCGAACAUCCAUGCUCAUCUUCCUCUAGUUUAUAUGUGGGACGCCUACGACAGCAUGGCUUGCCAAGCAGUGCCAUGUUUGCAUCCGGGAUCGGAACCGGCGAACCCCGGGCCGUCAAAGCUGAACAUGUGAACUUAACCACUGCACCACCGGGCCGGCCCCUUUAACAAAUAUUUAUCGAGAAUCUACCAUGUGCCAGUCACUAUAUACAACAAACAGACUCUGUGUCGGCCUUUUGGUGUUUAACUGCAGGUUGGGACCUUACCUGGACCUCUCAACUAGAACACCUACACAGCAUGGAGGCUGGAUUCUGAGGAAGAGCAUCCUGAAAGAGAGAGUCAGCUGGAAGCUGUGUCACCAUUUCUACACCCUCCUGGGAAGUCACACAAAGGAUGCUUCCUUUCUGAUGCGUUCUGUUGGCUAGAAGCAAGUCACUAAAGGAAAAGGGAAUUACACUCCAACUUUUGAUAGAAGACUGUCAAAGAUUUUUCAUAUGUUUUAAAACUACCACUUUCCAAUGGGAUACAAGUGGAACAAAGAAUAAGCAUAGGUUUUCUUUUGUAAUCAGAGAGACUGGUACACAUUAGUAGAAAUAAACAAGUGAAAGAAAGAAAUCUAAAUAUGUAUUAGAUUCUGAUGUGAGUGAAAGGCCAUUUCAAGACUGAAUACGUUGGUUGAUGUUUUGUGGUUCUGUGAACAUGGUCUUAUUAUUAUAUGCAUUUAGCGAUGUCAUUCAAUUAC
RNAcentral lists this long non-coding RNA (963 nucleotides) under Equus caballus (horse). RNAcentral's name for it is "lncRNA (ENSECAG00000056704.1)". The record is from RNAcentral. Lineage: Eukaryota; Metazoa; Chordata; Mammalia; Perissodactyla; Equidae.